UUACGGGAGGCAGCAGUGGGGAAUCUUGGACACUGGGGGCAACCCUGAUCCAGCGAUGCCGCGUGGGUGAAGACGGCCUGCGGGUUGUAAAGCCCUUUUGGCGGGGACGAAGGGCCGGUCGUGAACAGCGGUCGGCGGUGACGGUACCCGCGGAAGAAGCACCGGCUAACUCCGUGCCAGCAGCCGCGGUAAUACGGAGGGUGCGAGCGUUAAUCGGAGUGACUGGGCGUAAAGGGCGCGUAGGCGGUUGGCUAAGUCGGUUGUGAAAGCCCCGGGCUCAACCUGGGAAUGGCAAUGGAGACUGGUCGACUGGAGUGCAAACGAGGACCGUGGAAUUCCCGGUGUAGCGGUGAAAUGCGUAGAGAUCGGGAGGAACACCGAUGGCGAAGGCAGCGGUCUGGGUUGACACUGACGCUGAGGCGCGACAGCGUGGGGAGCAAACAGGAUUAGAUACCCUAGUAA
This 462-nucleotide ribosomal RNA is filed under the name uncultured bacterium. RNAcentral's name for it is "bacterial SSU rRNA". It matches the Rfam family "Bacterial small subunit ribosomal RNA", at positions 339 to 793 of the family's 1533-position model. The record is from RNAcentral.